This 735-nucleotide ribosomal RNA is filed under the name Meristogenys sp. b SG-2016. RNAcentral's name for it is "partial 12S ribosomal RNA". The stretch from base 1 to 486 matches the Rfam family "Bacterial small subunit ribosomal RNA", at positions 848 to 1533 of the family's 1533-position model. Lineage: Eukaryota; Metazoa; Chordata; Amphibia; Anura; Ranidae. The record is from RNAcentral.
AAUUUACUUACACAUUUUACGCCCGGGUAUUACGAGCAAUGCUUAAACCCAAAGGACUUGACGGUGUCCCAUCCGUCUAGAGGAGCCUGUUCUAUAAUCGAUAACCCCCGCUUUACCUAACCAUUCUUUGCCCAUCAGUCUGUAUACCUCCGUCGGAAGCUUACCAUAUGAACGCUUAUAGUAAGCCCAAUGGCCUCUCGCCAGCACGUCAGGUCAAGGUGCAACUUAUAGAAUGGGAAGAAAUGGGCUACAAUUUCUAAAAUAGAAUAAACGAAAGACUGCUUGAAACCACAGUCAUGAAGGAGGAUCUAGUAGUAAAAAGGGAGUAGAGAGCCCCUUUUAACCCGGCACUGGGACGCGUACACACCGCCCGUCACCCUCUUCAACAGUUACUUUUCUCGAUUAUUAACAAAUUACCCACGUCUUAGAAGAGGCAAGUCGUAACACGGUAGGGGUACUGGAAAGUGCCCCUGGCAUACACCAAAAUGUAGCUUAACAAAAGCCCCUCGCUUACACCGAGGUAAUAUCUGUUAAACCCGGAUCAUUUUGAGCCUAAAAUCUAGCCCUCCCCCUUACUUCAUGCCUCUUAAUCUUACUGCCCAAAAACAAAUCAUUUUAACUUUCCAGUACAGGCGAUCGAAAAAUAUCUAUGGCGCUUCAGACACAGUACCGCAAGGGAAUGAUGAAAUAAUUAUGAAACAAUUUCAAAGCUAAACAUAGCAGAGAUUUAACCUC